UACGGCGAGUGAGCGGCAAGAGCUCAAAUUUGAAAUCUGGCCCCUCCGGGGUCCGAGUUGUAAUUUGCAGAGGAUGCUUCGGGCGCGGUCCCCGUCUAAGUACCCUGGAACGGGUCGUCAUAGAGGGUGAGAAUCCCGUCUGGGACGGGUGGCCGUGUCCGUGUGAAGCUCCUUCGACGAGUCGAGUUGUUUGGGAAUGCAGCUCUAAAUGGGUGGUAAAUUUCAUCUAAAGCUAAAUAUUGGCCGGAGACCGAUAGCGCACAAGUAGAGUGAUCGAAAGAUGAAAAGCACUUUGAAAAGAGAGUUAAACAGCACGUGAAAUUGUUGAAAGGGAAGCGCUUGCGACCAGACUCGCCCGCGGGGGUUCAGCCGGUACUCGUACCGGUGUACUCCCCCGGGGGCGGGCCAGCGUCGGUUUGGGCGGUCGGUCAAAGGCCUCCGGAAUGUGUCGCCCCCCGGGGCGUCUUAUAGCCGGAGGUGCAAUGCGGCCAGCCUGGACCGAGGAACGCGCUUCGGCUCGGACGCUGGCGUAAUGGUCGUAAGCGGCCCGUCUUGACC
This 558-nucleotide ribosomal RNA is filed under the name Paecilomyces variotii. RNAcentral's name for it is "partial large subunit ribosomal RNA". It matches the Rfam family "Eukaryotic large subunit ribosomal RNA", at positions 85 to 659 of the family's 3401-position model. The record is from RNAcentral. Lineage: Eukaryota; Fungi; Ascomycota; Eurotiomycetes; Eurotiales; Thermoascaceae.